CAGCAGUCGCCACGGUAAUACGAAGGGUGCAAGCGUUACUCGGAAUUACUGGGCGUAAAGCGUGCGUAGGUGGUGGUUUAAGUCCGUUGUGAAAGCCCUGGGCUCAACCUGGGAAUUGCAGUGGAUACUGGGUCACUAGAGUGUGGUAGAGGAUAGUGGAAUUUCCGGUGUAGCAGUGAAAUGCGUAGAGAUCGGAAGGAACAUCUGUGGCGAAGGCGACUAUCUGGGCCAACACUGACACUGAGGCACGAAAGCGUGGGGAGCAAACAGGAUUAGAUACCCGCGUAGUCCCUGUCUCUUAUAC
This 304-nucleotide ribosomal RNA is filed under the name uncultured bacterium. RNAcentral describes it as "partial 16S ribosomal RNA". It matches the Rfam family "Bacterial small subunit ribosomal RNA", at positions 506 to 807 of the family's 1533-position model. The record is from RNAcentral.